AGAAUCAACGCUGGCGGCGUGCCUAACACAUGCAAGUCGAACGAGAAAGUGGAGCAAUCCAUUAGUAAAGUGGCGCACGGGUGAGUAACACGUGACUAACCUACCCUUGAGUGGGGGAUAACCUAGAGAAAUCUGGGCUAAUACCGCAUAAUACCUUCGGGUCAAAGGAGCAAUUCGCUUAAGGAGGGGGUCGCGGCCGAUUAGUUAGUUGGCGGGGUAAUGGCCCACCAAGACUAUGAUCGGUAUCCGGCCUGAGAGGGCGCACGGACACACUGGAACUGAAACACGGUCCAGACUCCUACGGGAGGCAGCAGUGGGAAUUUUGCGCAAUGGGGGAAACCCUGACGCAGCAACGCCGCGUGGAGGAUGAAGCCCCUUGGGGCGUAAACUCCUUUCGAUCGGGACGAUAAUGACGGUACCGAGAGAAGAAGCCCCGGCUAACUUCGCGCCAGCAGCCGC
Molecule: ribosomal RNA, 459 nt
Filed under: uncultured bacterium
Lineage: Bacteria
Description: SSU rRNA
Rfam family: Bacterial small subunit ribosomal RNA
Source: RNAcentral